GUUCCAGUUGUGAUAGGAGCACUCGGGGCUGUGACUCCCAAGUUGGGAGAGUGGCUUCAACUAAUUCCAUCAUAUAUAUGCUACUUUUCUACUUUUCAUAUGUUCUCGCUCUAAAAUGUUGUGCGAAGGAAAUUGACUAUGUGUAACAUAUUUAUCCUCACCUUGUGGUAUCUGCAGUAAUUGCCUCCCUAACAAUAAUGGAAGUGCCACUCAGC
Molecule: non-coding RNA, 215 nt
Organism: Pelobates cultripes (western spadefoot toad)
Lineage: Eukaryota; Metazoa; Chordata; Amphibia; Anura; Pelobatidae
Source: the annotation of a GenBank genome assembly